This 388-nucleotide unclassified non-coding RNA is filed under the name uncultured fungus. RNAcentral describes it as "partial contains small subunit ribosomal RNA, internal transcribed spacer 1, and 5.8S ribosomal RNA". The stretch from base 1 to 73 matches the Rfam family "Eukaryotic small subunit ribosomal RNA", at positions 1759 to 1831 of the family's 1831-position model. Lineage: Eukaryota; Fungi. The record is from RNAcentral.
ACAAACUUGGUCAUUUAGAGGAAGUAAAAGUCGUAACAAGGUUUCCGUAGGUGAACCUGCGGAAGGAUCAUUAAAAAAAAAAGAACCAUAGUGAGUGAAGGAAUGUCAAAAUUCUGGAUCUACUAUAACCCUUUUUAACCCUGCUUAAAUUGACCUCAUGUUGCUUUGGUAGACCAAAAAGUUGAUUCUUUUGGCUGGCCCUUAAAUUAUUAGGUCUGGUUAGUGUCUACCAAUAGCCCCCCAAUCAAAACUUCUGUAUAAAUUUUGUCUGAAUUUAAGGUUACUUUAUAACCUUUAACUGUUUAAUUCAUAACUUCGGUUAUAAUCAAACAAAAAUACAACUUUCAACAAUGGAUCUCUUGGCUCUGGCAUCGAUGAAGAACGCAGC